Non-coding RNA from Salvelinus sp. IW2-2015, 169 nucleotides. NCBI's taxonomy places the organism in Eukaryota, Metazoa, Chordata, Actinopteri, Salmoniformes, Salmonidae. The record is from RefSeq and is a predicted model, not a curated record.
GGACAGAAUGGAGCACACCUUGCUCUGUUUGCUACUAUUGCUGAGUACACACAUCUACUCUGGACACUCUGAAGAUGAUGGAAAGGCAAAGGCUGUUCUGACCAUAUACCCCACAUCCUCCCAGAUAUUCAGUGGAGAGUCUGUCACUCUCAGAUGUAACAUACAGAGG